UCCUCUCCCCCAGCCUGGGGCGGAGGCCCGAGGGCCUGAGCUGGGGGGGGGGGGGGAGGCCCGGGGGACAGGCUUUUAAUUAAUGCAUUUUAUUAUCUCUGGAGGAGAUUCGGGAUUUUGACUAGGAAGGAGGAUUUGGGGAAGGGGGGGUUCCCUUCCUCCUCCUCCUCCCGAAAUCGGGUUCCCCCGGGCCCACAGUGCCCGGGAGCAGCCAGCGUUUACCUUCGGCCUCCUACACUGUUUUAGAAACAAGAUGGACUGGAGGUGGGACCGCCUGACUUUGGGGUGGGUUUUAUUUUGGGGGUGUGUGUAUGUGUGUGUUUUAAGUCGCGGGAAGAGUGGGGAGCCUCGGCGCGGGAUCUCUUGGAGCAGCAAUCAAGGGAUACCCUCUCCUCCCCUCGAUCUCCCUCUCCUUCCUCCUCCUUGUCUACCCCUGCACCCCCUAGCCAUCUCGAAGCAUAGAACAGGAUUUCCAAAUUAGCAUUACGCUGCAAUCAUUGGGUUUUGCUGGAAGGAUGCAGACCGAUCUCGGCUUGGAGCUUUUCUCUUUCCUCCCCAUUUUCUCCCCGCACCCCUUGCUUUUGGAGGAAGGGCUUUCCGCGCCCCCACACACACCCCGUUUUUGUAAUUGUCCAGGGUUGUCAAAUCUAUCUCCCCAUACUUUGCCCAAACUCGAAUGAGUCGCUUUCUACAUUCAUUUUUUUCCCCUUUUAUUAAAGGUCCUGGGACUGGCGACGGCCAAUCAGCGAGCAGCUUCCAUUUGGUCGCUUCUACCCCCAAAGCACCCUGUGCUUCUCGGUUACACUAUUACAGGGAAGGGGGGAGGGAGCAAUGGGUGUUUUUUUUUUUCUCUCUUCCCCUCCUUCCUUCCUUCCUCGCUCCCUCCUUGCCUCCUCCUGGCUGAAGAAGAGGCUGCCUGUCUUGCUUCUGCUUCACGGUGGUUCGUCUCAUAUUGGGGGGUAUUUGGGGGGUUUGUAAUUGGGCCGUGGUGCGGUAAUUGGCUGAUUCAGGGCGCCAGGGCCCCUGGGCCAAUCAGCGCGAAGCUUCUAUGGGGCUUGAGUUAUUAGACGCGGAUCUCCUAACAUCCGUCAUCAGACAAGCCAAGGAGAGGCCAACAUUCAGGGAGCCAUUUUUCUGCCAUGGAAUUAAAUGGCCAAGUGGGUUUUCCUUUGUUCCAAAAGGGGGAACGCUUUUCCUUUGACUCCACCAUCCAGUGCAGGAUUGCCCCGUGUCUUGCCCAAUGUUGGUCACCAAUGCUAAAGGACCGAUGGAAGAAGGAAGACUGCAUUUUUUAAAAAUGAUUUUGGAUUUUGCUUUUUUUUUCCUCCUUAUGACCUGGAAUCCAUCUUUGUCUUGUAUAACUAGGUCAUAGCCCAUCAUUAAUGUCAGCAGUUUAAAAAUUUUGAAUCCAAAAAAGAUCUAAGUAAAUGACAUAUUUAUUUACUUUUUUCCUUUUUAUGGUUUUUGGCUGGGGGUGUGGGGAGGGGGGGUUGCGCUGUCUAAUCUGUAUCCUCUUGACUGAACAAUAAAUUUUUUUAAAUAUAUAUAAUUUCCUCUAUUAAACACUUAAACCUGGCCAUCUUUAUUAACUCCUCUCCUUCUCUCUUAACAAGGUAAUGUUUUAAAUGUAGAGUUUUAGGAAAGAAUUUAUUCUGGCUGUACUAAGCCAAGAAAAAAAUGUAAGCCAUUACUGCUGUUUUUCUUUUCAAUUCUGCUCUGUUGUAAGUACCCAAUCCAUUCUGUCCUUAAUUUAAGUGCAGUGUUCAUGUUAAUGUUGCCGAAUUGUUCUAAUUUCUGAGCCUUCGUCUAUCUGCAUGUCUGUUUUUGUUUCUCCUUGUUGGAUCUCAGAACCAAAUUCCUGCCUUUGGACUAGGAGAUAAGCUUUAGGCUUUAAGAAAUGUUUAUCUACAGUGAAUGCUAGCUAGCCUUAUUCCCAAUUAGCUGGUGGAUUUUCUUUAAGCAAGCUCUCUUUUGAGGGCGACGGCUCUGGUUUCUCCAGUCUUGGGGGGGUGGGGAGGGAAGAGAGAAGAAAGCCCCACUCUUCAGCAGAGACUGAACUGGUCACAGGAAACUAGACAGAAACCCCUUCAAGAAGCCCCAAGCAGUUGCAGCCCAACGACAUUAUUAAACUGGGCAGCCUUUUCUCUAGUGGUUGGGGUGACCCGGGUACGAAGUGGCUAACUCUUUCCUUUGUUCUCCCGUUUUGUUGGAAGCGUCUAUUUUUUGCCUUUUGUCUCUGAAAUGACUCUUAACACCCUUGCCCUAGCCAGCCCCACCGGCGAAGCCUGCCAGCCUUCGGCCGAACCCUGGGAAAGGUUUGCAGAAUUCGAAGGCGAUGAAAUGACAUGACACUGUAACUGACAAAAAGGUAGUGACCCCCCCCCCCCAUGAUCCAAACAAAACUCCAACAAAAUGGUGGGGUUUUUUCUUACAAUCACAUCACCAAACCAACGCCCAAGUUCACCUUCCAGACUCCAUUGCGCCAAGCUGAGCACCGGUAAGUAAGAACGUGCCUUUUCAAAGCCCUUGUAGCAGUCAGUACCGGCUAGAGCAGGCCCUGAGCUGCUGCAGAUUGUUCUGAGCCCAAGGACUGAGCCCGCCUGGGUUUCCUAGCUUGGUGUCGGUUGUAGCUGGCCAGGCGGGGCAGACAAUGUGGACAGAGGAGAGAAGCUAGACAGAUACACUUUGGGAUGGGAGGGGUUGGGGUCUUCGUGCCCAGGGGCUAUGUGCUUUUCUAUUUGCGACUGUGGGGGUGCUUGGGGUGACUGGGGCAUUCCCCCUUGGGCUUUUUCUGCGAGCCCCAAACCCUUGCCCACCCCCGCUGCUGGGGGGAGGACACUGCUGCUUCCCUCCAUCAGCGAGCCAGCCAGCCUGCUUGCCUGCCUCUCUCUCCCCACUGCCGUCCCCGAUCUCGCAGUUUUGAGGACAAGGGAGGAAAGCAGUGCUUUGGGUUGGGGCUUUAGCCGCCCUUCCAGGAGAGCCCAGUUUGCCAGACUUGGGGGGCUCUCCCUCCCGCUGGAAAUCCGUGCUGGGGGGCCCUUCUUCGGUCCUGGUCCGGGGAGCCAAGCGAGGCUGCCCCGACCCCUGGCCGGCUCGGGCGCUGAAAGAAAGGACAAGGGGACCGGCGUCCAUUUUGGCGCCAUGACGCAGCAGGCUUUCUUGCUCGGGCUGCUGCCGCCCUGCCUCGUUGUUCUUCUCAGCCCGGGCUGGGUUCCUCCUCCCUCCCGCCCCGCUGCGCUCGAGUUUUAUUUUCAGGUUCCGAGAGCGUGCCCAGGGCGGUUCGGGUGGGUGGGCGGGCGGGUUAGGGCCGGGGCUGACUGGCCCGGGCGCUUGCUAAAUGGCCGCCCCGAGCUCGCUUUCCCUGUCCUCUCUCUCUCUCUCCUGCUGCAGCUGCGAGUCCUGGAGCAGGAGGUGGCUUCGCUGCGAGGCCUGUCCACGCCUGGAUUGGCUCUGGGUAAAUCAGGCUUUUCGAGCUGGGCUGGGGGUUGAGGGUUGGGGGUUUGGGGGGUGCUUUUUCUUUUUUUCGUUCUUUUUGCCUAAGUCGAGGCUUGGUUUUUUCAUCCUCUCCCGAGCUCCUCUUCGGCAGGGUCGUCGGGGCAGGCGGGGCGAGCCCAGCCCUGGGAGCCGGCUCUCCCUGGGUCGUGUUAGCUAAGCCAGCAGGCUUGGGGGAAAGAAAAGGCAGGCGCCAUUUCGUGCGCUGGAAGCUGCUGCUUCGUGCUCGAGGAAGGGGGGCGGGGAGGGAGGGCGGUGGCUGCUGGGGGGGAGGGGAGGGCGGGCUGACUGUAAUCAGAGAGCCCGGGGCCCGGGCCAGCCACCGCCUCCUCCUCAGCCGCCGCCGCCUCCUCCUGCGAGCUUAGCGCUCCGGUGGGGGAGGGGAGCGCGGCUCUUAAAGCCGUAGGCAGCCACCCCUCCCCCAGCCGCAGACAAAGGGGAGGGGGAAGGAAGGCGGUGGGGGAGGGGUGACCCUGGGAGAUCCCUCGCCUCUGACGGUCUCCUCCUCCCUCUCGGAGCCUGUUCUGCCUCUCAGCUUCCUUGGGGACCCGGGAGACUGUUGUCCCAGUCUUUUACGAGGCCCCCAAGCCAGGGACCGUGGCCACUUGGCUCCGAAUGGAGUCAGGAUGCUCAGAAACUCGGGGCUCACUCGGAUUCCUGGGACCCAGCGAAGCAGGCGGAACCAGCCAGGGGUAAGAGUGAGUGCCCAGGGGCCGCCCGACCUUACGCUUCCCAGCCGCCACGUGCUAGAUUAUUGGAUCCUUUCGGCCCCCCCAUCAUAUCCGUUGUACCCCAACUUCUGGGUGGGGCCCACCGAGGCAGGCAGUAAGGGGGGGCUGGCCACUGGCUCGCCAAGAUCAAGACCUGCUUUCUCAUUUAUGGUGCCGGCUUUGGGGUCACCCCUCCCCAUCCCCUGCACGAAGGUGACCUCACCGGGAGGGGAACCCCAAGUUUUGCCCCAUCCACCGGCCAGCCUCUCCAGGACCUAGGGCAGCGGGCUGGCUCUCCCCUCCUCGGGUCCUCGGCCCCUGGGGCGGACUGGCGGUGGUUAUUUGUCUGGGGAGGGGGAGGCUGGGAAGCCCAUUAGUUAGAGCUGGACUCUGGGCUCCUUCGUGCUGCUUUCUCCACUGGAAGCCACUCGGUAAGUCCCUUUGCACCCGGAGCCCUUUUCUUCCCGUGUGGGUGGGGAGGAGGGCUGCAGCAGCCCUGGAAGCGAGCUUUAUAAAUGGCAGUGGUUUCCUGCCUCUCCUCGGGCUGCUCUUGCCCUGCACCCCGCCCUCCACUGACCCCUGCAUGCUGACUAAAGCCCAAGACCCUUCCUUGUGCCGAAAGCUCUGAGCCCCAGCCUGGGGACUCCACAAUAAAAACAGGAAAAACA
Monodelphis domestica (gray short-tailed opossum) is the source of this 4870-nucleotide non-coding RNA. The record is from RefSeq and is a predicted model, not a curated record. NCBI's taxonomy places the organism in Eukaryota, Metazoa, Chordata, Mammalia, Didelphimorphia, Didelphidae.